GUCUGUGUGGCUCAGUUGGUAGAGCAUGGUGUUUGCAACGCCAGGGUUGUGGGUUCGAUUCCCACGGCGGACC
RNAcentral lists this transfer RNA (73 nucleotides) under Salmo salar (Atlantic salmon). It matches the Rfam family "tRNA". From Rfam's summary of the family: Transfer RNA (tRNA) molecules are approximately 80 nucleotides in length. Their secondary structure includes four short double-helical elements and three loops (D, anti-codon, and T loops). The record is from Rfam by way of RNAcentral. Lineage: Eukaryota; Metazoa; Chordata; Actinopteri; Salmoniformes; Salmonidae.